CAGCCUCUUCCAUCAUCCUUCUGUCUGACGUUCUGUCCUCUGAUUGGGUCCUUCAGAAGCAGUAUACUGCACAUCCCAAAAGCACAGAGUGUGCUUCGGAAACAUAAGGGUGUUAAGUUUAUGUGCAGUCGUUCUAAUGAAAAAUAAUGCUGGCUGCCUCUGAAUCCAAAUAUAGUCCAGGCCGUUUCUAACCAGUCACAACUGUAGCUCAUGAGUCAUUCUAAUGAAAUGUAUCAGAACAGUGCUAUGAAAACAAGAGGAGGGACCAGAGAAUUCACUGUGCCUGCCAUAAAUGGACCUUCUAUACUGCUGUGACUUCAGAAUCAGGUUUGGUCCUCCAUAAGUUUGGUCCUCCAUACAGCUCCAUUCUUUUUAAUAGUCAACUUAUUUUCGGAUCAUCAGUCAUCAAGCUCGGUAAACACUGGUCAUCAUGUCUUCAGGCCAUUUCAAGUUUGAUUUUGACGUGACAAAGCGGUGAUAUCUAAAUAGAUUCCUCAGUGACGUACAGCACAGUCAUGUCUCUGGGAGGAUCCAUUCCUGCAUCAAGAUGACCAUGAGCCCUAGAGAGAAGGAGGAGUAUGAGUAUGCUGGACACACGACACUCUUCACAAGGACAUUUACAUUGUUAUUGUCUGCUGCUGUCCAGCAGGGACUCUUUCAUGAUUUGUUUAUCUGUCCCAAUAGCUCUUAGCAUCGCAAAAGCAAAGGUUAGAGUGCCUCUGAAAACAGCUAAACAGACUAACAGUCGUUCUGGAGCUUUCUGACAAUUGAGAGGGAAAUAAACAGAUUUAAUCUUGCCAUUAUUGAAGUGGCCAGUCCUUAAAAUGAGUGGAAAGCCAUUCACACCUCCCCAUAUUCAUUAGACUAAUGCAUUCAAUUCAUAAACUAUGGGAGGCAAUUCAUAAACAGGUUGUCAACCUCAUUUAAAUGCUUUCAGGGUGAAAUACUCCUCAGUAAAUGAGUUGUGAUUAUUCAUGUAUGCAUAUCUUAAUUUAUUUUCCACUCAGCAGAGCAGUCAAUAAAUAUAUGUUCAGACUUUGUAUAAAGGGCACAAAGAACAA
This is a long non-coding RNA of Megalobrama amblycephala (Wuchang bream), 1061 nucleotides long. RefSeq lists it as uncharacterized. Lineage: Eukaryota; Metazoa; Chordata; Actinopteri; Cypriniformes; Xenocyprididae. The transcript has 4 exons. The record is from RefSeq and is a predicted model, not a curated record.